GACGAACGCUGGCGGCGUGCCUAAUACAUGCAAGUUGAGCGCUGAAGGUUGGUACUUGUACCGACUGGAUGAGCAGCGAACGGGUGAGUAACGCGUGGGUAAUCUGCCUUUGAGCGGGGGACAACAUUUGGAAACGAAUGCUAAUACCGCAUAAAAACUUUAAACACAAGUUUUAAGUUUGAAAGAUGCAAUUGCAUCACUCAAAGAUGAUCCCGCGUUGUAUUAGCUAGUUGGUGAGGUAAAGGCUCACCAAGGGGAUGAUACAUAGCCGACCUGAGAGGGUGAUCGGCCAAAUUGGGACUGAGACAAGGCCCAAACUCCUACGGGAGGCAGCAGUAGGGAAUCUUCGGCAAUGGACGAAAGUCUGACCGAGCAACGCCGCGUGAGUGAAGAAGGUUUUCGGAUCGUAAAACUCUGUUGGUAGAGAAGAACGUUGGUGAGAGUGGAAAGCUCAUCAAGUGACGGUAACUACCCAGAAAGGGACGGCUAACUACGUG
Molecule: ribosomal RNA, 497 nt
Filed under: uncultured bacterium
Lineage: Bacteria
Description: partial 16S ribosomal RNA
Rfam family: Bacterial small subunit ribosomal RNA
Source: RNAcentral